GGGGAUUUAGCUCAGCGGCAUAAGCACCUGCCUUGCAAGCAGGAGAUCGUGAGUUCAAUCCCUG
This 64-nucleotide transfer RNA is filed under the name Cavia porcellus (domestic guinea pig). It matches the Rfam family "tRNA". From Rfam's summary of the family: Transfer RNA (tRNA) molecules are approximately 80 nucleotides in length. The record is from Rfam by way of RNAcentral. Lineage: Eukaryota; Metazoa; Chordata; Mammalia; Rodentia; Caviidae.